Molecule: ribosomal RNA, 511 nt
Filed under: Agabus confinis
Lineage: Eukaryota; Metazoa; Arthropoda; Insecta; Coleoptera; Dytiscidae
Description: partial 16S ribosomal RNA
Rfam family: Bacterial large subunit ribosomal RNA (bases 388-511)
Source: RNAcentral
GUCCUUUUGAAUUUAAUUUAAGGUUUAACCUGCCCACUGAAAUUUUUUGAAGGGCCGCAGUAAUUUGACUGUGCAAAGGUAGCAUAAUCAUUAGUUUUUUAAUUGAAAGCUUGUAUGAAGGGUUGGACGAGGUAAAUUCUGUCUCUAUUUAAUUUUAUAUAGAAUUUAAUUUUUAAGUUAAAAAGCUUAAAUUUUUUUAAAAGACGAGAAGACCCUAUAGAUCUUUAUAUUAAAAAUAUUAAUUUUAAUUAAGAAUAUUUAAUUUUUUAGUAUUUAUAAUAUUUUAUUGGGGUAAUAAAAAGAUUAAAAUAAUUCUUUUUUUAUUUUAACAUUUAUUUAUGGUUAUAUGAUCCAAUUUUAUUGAUUAAAAGAUUAAGUUACCUUAGGGAUAACAGCGUAAUUUUUUUAGAGAGUUCAUAUCGAUAAAAAAGUUUGCGACCUCGAUGUUGGAUUAAAAAUUAUCUUAGGUGUAGAAGUUUAAGAUUUUGGUCUGUUCGACCAUUAAAUUUUU